RNAcentral lists this ribosomal RNA (468 nucleotides) under uncultured bacterium. Its description in RNAcentral is "partial 16S ribosomal RNA". It matches the Rfam family "Bacterial small subunit ribosomal RNA", at positions 28 to 507 of the family's 1533-position model. The record is from RNAcentral.
GACGAACGCUGGCGGCGUGCUUAACACAUGCAAGUCGAACGGAAAGGCCCUGCUUUUGUGGGGUGCUCGAGUGGCGAACGGGUGAGUAACACGUGAGUAACCUGCCCUUGACUUUGGGAUAACUUCAGGAAACUGGGGCUAAUACCGGAUAGGAGCUCCUGCUGCAUGGUGGGGGUUGGAAAGUUUCGGCGGUUGGGGAUGGACUCGCGGCUUAUCAGCUUGUUGGUGGGGUAGUGGCUUACCAAGGCUUUGACGGGUAGCCGGCCUGAGAGGGUGACCGGCCACAUUGGGACUGAGAUACGGCCCAGACUCCUACGGGAGGCAGCAGUGGCGAAUAUUGCACAAUGGGCGGAAGCCUGAUGCAGCAACGCCGCGUGCGGGAUGACGACCUUCGGGUUGUAAACCGCUUUCGCCUGUGACGAAGCGUGAGUGACGGUAAUGGGUAAAGAAGCACCGGCUAACUACGUG